This 382-nucleotide ribosomal RNA is filed under the name uncultured bacterium. Its description in RNAcentral is "bacterial SSU rRNA". It matches the Rfam family "Bacterial small subunit ribosomal RNA", at positions 30 to 414 of the family's 1533-position model. The record is from RNAcentral.
AUUGAACGCUGGCGGCAUGCCUUACACAUGCAAGUCGAACGGUAACAGGUCUUCGGAUGCUGACGAGUGGCGAACGGGUGAGUAAUACAUCGGAACGUGCCCGAGAGUGGGGGAUAACGAAGCGAAAGCUUUGCUAAUACCGCAUACGAUCUCAGGAUGAAAGCAGGGGACCGCAAGGCCUUGCGCUCACGGAGCGGCCGAUGGCAGAUUAGGUAGUUGGUGGGAUAAAAGCUUACCAAGCCGACGAUCUGUAGCUGGUCUGAGAGGACGACCAGCCACACUGGGACUGAGACACGGCCCAGACUCCUACGGGAGGCAGCAGUGGGGAAUUUUGGACAAUGGGCGCAAGCCUGAUCCAGCCAUGCCGCGUGCAGGAUGAAGG